Molecule: ribosomal RNA, 465 nt
Filed under: uncultured Klebsiella sp.
Lineage: Bacteria; Pseudomonadati; Pseudomonadota; Gammaproteobacteria; Enterobacterales; Enterobacteriaceae
Description: bacterial SSU rRNA
Rfam family: Bacterial small subunit ribosomal RNA
Source: RNAcentral
CCUACGGGAGGCUGCAGUGGGGAAUAUUGCACAAUGGGCGCAAGCCUGAUGCAGCCAUGCCGCGUGUGUGAAGAAGGCCUUCGGGUUGUAAAGCACUUUCAGCGGGGAGGAAGGCGGUGAGGUUAAUAACCUCAUCGAUUGACGUUACCCGCAGAAGAAGCACCGGCUAACUCCGUGCCAGCAGCCGCGGUAAUACGGAGGGUGCAAGCGUUAAUCGGAAUUACUGGGCGUAAAGCGUACGCAGGCGGUCUGUCAAGUCGGAUGUGAAAUCCCCGGGCGCAACCUGGGAACUGCAUUCGAAACUGGCAGGCUAGAGUCUUGUAGAGGGGGGUAGAAUUCCAGGUGUAGCGGUGAAAUGCGUAGAGAUCUGGAGGAAUACCGGUGACGAAGGCGGCCCCCUGGACAAAGACUGACGCUCAGGUGCGAAAGCGUGGGGAGCAAACAGGAUUAGAUACCCCUGUAGUC